Molecule: ribosomal RNA, 120 nt
Filed under: Helianthus annuus (common sunflower)
Lineage: Eukaryota; Viridiplantae; Streptophyta; Magnoliopsida; Asterales; Asteraceae
Source: RNAcentral
GGUUGCGAUCAUACCAGCACUAAUGCACCGGACCCCAUCAGAACUCCGCAGUUAAGCGUGCUUGGGCGAGAGUAGUACUAGGAUGGGUGACCCCCUGGGAAGUCCUCGUGUUGCAACCCC